Non-coding RNA from Leptonychotes weddellii (Weddell seal), 986 nucleotides. Lineage: Eukaryota; Metazoa; Chordata; Mammalia; Carnivora; Phocidae. The record is from RefSeq and is a predicted model, not a curated record.
UAUGGGAGCAAAAGAGGAUGUGGUGAGCCUGGGGUGUGGCAGCUCAUUGAUAUGGCUGGGUCAGAGGUCUGUUAAGGGGCGAGGUGGAAGAUGAGUCUGGAGAGGUCAGCAAGGCCAGAUCCUGAAGGAAGGGCCUUAGACCUAUACUAAGGAAUAGUGAGAUCAUAGUAUGUUAAGAGGGGAAGGGACCUCUGAGAUCCCUUGGCCCCAGUUUUGGUGCAGAUAAGAAAACUGAGGCCCAGAUUGCUUAAUGAUUUCACCAAGGUCACUUAGCUCCAAGAAACAUAACCUUCAGUCUUUAAUAUAUUGGCUAAAACUUGUUGGCUCUCUCCUAAUGCUGAUCCCUAUUAGCAUCUGUAUACUUUUUGUUCUGAACAUUGUUGUAAAAAGACUUCUAGGUUAGCUAGGUAUGGCAUGUUGCCAUGCAUGGAAAUGCCUAAGUGGGCAGACACUGGGCCGUGCCCCCACACCAACGGGGAAGAAAGUGAGAUUUCUAACUCUAUUUUGUUUGGGUUCUCUUCCAUUGGCUUUUCAGCACAUAAGGAGACCACAGAACACCAGUCAGUGGUGAUGACAGACCCCGUGUUGGACUCACAGCCAACCAGCAACACUGGGGAGAUGGAUGGACUGUGCCCUGAGCUAUUGCUGAUCCCCCCAUCUCUCUCUAACCGUGGAAUCCUGGAGCCCGUCCAGAGCGCCUGUCCUGCUGAGAACCCCACACCUUUGCCUGCUGACCCAGGCUGUCUACUGGUAGAGGCCACAGCAACUGAAGAGGACACAGGGAACAUGGAGAUCAUUGUGGAAGCAGUAACUGGAAACCUGUCCCCAGGUGCUCCUGGAGAGACCCCAGGUACCAACCCAGUCGCUAGCAGGCCCCUGGGACAAUCAGCCCUGAGGUUUUCUCUGUGCUAUUUUUGACCCUUUUGUAUAAAUAAUGAUGAGAACACAAGGUAGCAUCUUAUUUUUAUUCUUAGAGAUGUUGUCAU